This 278-nucleotide long non-coding RNA is filed under the name Coffea arabica (coffee). RNAcentral's name for it is "long non-coding RNA (CARA_LNC004393)". Lineage: Eukaryota; Viridiplantae; Streptophyta; Magnoliopsida; Gentianales; Rubiaceae. The record is from RNAcentral.
UUUUCCGCCUGAAGCUCUUCCUCUCCUCUGAUUUGUUCAGCCGUCAAGUCCUCCGCUUGUCUCUUUUCUGGUUUCCUCUCCAGCCCAUUCACCAAACCCCAGCCGUUAAAAGCCUUCAGAUUUUUCUCACUCAGCCGUUAUCUUCCCAAAAAACUCUCUCUCUCGCUCUCCUUCUCAAUUCUUUCUCAGCCCUCCUUAUACUUUCCUUUAGCCGUCUGUAAUCCUUUUCUCAGUCUCUCUUGCUUUCUCUUUGUUUUCCAGAUUCCACCUAAGCCCAC